GACGAACGCUGGCGGCGUGCUUAACACAUGCAAGUCGAGCGGUAAGGCUCCUUCGGGAGUACACGAGCGGCGAACGGGUGAGUAACACGUGAGCAAUCUGCCCUUCACUUUGGGAUAACUCCGGGAAACCGGUGCUAAUACCGAAUGCGACCACUUCAGGCAUCUGACGGUGGUGGAAAGUUCCGGCGGUGAAGGAUGAGCUCGCGGCCUAUCAGCUUGUUGGUGAGGUAAUGGCUCACCAAGGCUUCGACGGGUAGCCGGCCUGAGAGGGUGACCGGCCACACUGGGACUGAGACACGGCCCAGACUCCUACGGGAGGCAGCAGUGGGGAAUAUUGGACAAUGGGCGAAAGCCUGAUGCAGCGACGCCGCGUGAGGGAUGACGGCCUUCGGGUUGUAACCGUACUUUCAAUAGGACGAAGCGC
Molecule: ribosomal RNA, 424 nt
Filed under: uncultured bacterium
Lineage: Bacteria
Description: bacterial SSU rRNA
Rfam family: Bacterial small subunit ribosomal RNA
Source: RNAcentral